RNAcentral lists this ribosomal RNA (468 nucleotides) under uncultured bacterium. Its description in RNAcentral is "partial 16S ribosomal RNA". It matches the Rfam family "Bacterial small subunit ribosomal RNA", at positions 28 to 507 of the family's 1533-position model. The record is from RNAcentral.
GACGAACGCUGGCGGCGUGCUUAACACAUGCAAGUCGAACGGAAAGGCCCUGCUUUUGUGGGGUGCUCGAGGGGCGAACGGGUGGGUAACACGUGAGUAACCUGCCCUUGACUUUGGGAUAACUUCAGGAAACGGGGGCUAAUACCGGAUAGGAGCUCCUGCGGCAUGGGGGGGGUUGGAAAGUUUCGGCGGUUGGGGAUGGACUCGCGGCUUAUCAGCUUGUUGGUGGGGUAGUGGCUUACCAAGGCUUUGACGGGUAGCCGGCCUGAGAGGGUGACCGGCCACAUUGGGACUGAGAUACGGCCCAGACUCCUACGGGAGGCAGCAGUGGGGAAUAUUGCACAAUGGGCGGAAGCCUGAUGCAGCAACGCCGCGUGCGGGAUGACGGCCUUCGGGUUGUAAACCGCUUUCGCCUGUGACGAAGCGUGAGUGACGGUAAUGGGUAAAGAAGCACCGGCUAACUACGUG